GGGCCGUUAGUUCAGUUGGUAGAAUGCGUCUCUCCUACACGUUACGUGAUAAGGCGAUGAAGAUGAGGUCCUGGGUUCGAGCCCCAGGCGGCCCUA
Molecule: non-coding RNA, 96 nt
Organism: Malassezia restricta
Lineage: Eukaryota; Fungi; Basidiomycota; Malasseziomycetes; Malasseziales; Malasseziaceae
Source: the annotation of a RefSeq genome assembly